AGCGAACGCUGGCGGCAGGCCUAACACAUGCAAGUCGAACGAACCCUCCGGGGUUAGUGGCGGAUGGGUGAGUAGCACGUGGGAACGUGCCUGUAGGUACGGAAUAACUCAGGUACACUUGUGCUAAUACCGAAUGUGCUCUUCGGGGGAAAGAUUUAUCGCCUUUAGAGCGGCACGGGUCUGUUGAGCCAGUUGGUUAAGGUAAUGGCUCACGAAGGCGACGAUCAGUAGCGGGUCAGAGAGGAUGAUCCGACACAUCGGUACUGAGCCACGGCCCAAACUCCUACGCGAUGCGGGAGUGCCGGAUCUUGCGAUACCGGCUAAGUGCUGACGCAGUCCGGGCGAGUGAAUGAUGUUGGUGUUAGAGAUGAGAAAUUCUUUCACCCGCGACGGUACUGACGGUACCCAGAGAAGAAGCCCCGGCUAACUUCGUG
RNAcentral lists this ribosomal RNA (434 nucleotides) under uncultured bacterium. Its description in RNAcentral is "partial 16S ribosomal RNA". It matches the Rfam family "Bacterial small subunit ribosomal RNA", at positions 29 to 507 of the family's 1533-position model. The record is from RNAcentral.